CCUACGGGCGGCAGCAGUGAGGAAUAUUGGUCAAUGGGCGCGAGCCUGAACCAGCCACGUAGCGUGAAGGAUGACUGCCCUACGGGUUGUAAACUUCUUUUGUAGAGAAGUAAAGUGAGGCACGUGUGCCUUUUUGUCUGUCCUUUAUGAUUAAGGAUCGGCUAACUCCGUGCCAGCAGCCGCGGUAAUACGGAGGAUCCGAGCGUUAUCCGGGUUUAUUGUGUGUAACGGGAGCGUAGAUGGGGUUGUAAGUCAGUUGUGAAAGGUUGGGGCGCAACCCUAAAAUUGCAAUUGAUACUGGCAGUCUGGAGUACAGUUGAGGUAGGCGGAAUUCGUGGUGUAGCGGUGAAAUGCUUAGAUAUCACGAAGAACACCGAUUGCGAAGGCAGCUUACUAAACUGCCACUGACAUUGAUGCUCGAAAGUGUGGGUAGCAAACAGGAUUAGAUACCCUGGUAGUC
RNAcentral lists this ribosomal RNA (460 nucleotides) under uncultured bacterium. RNAcentral's name for it is "partial 16S ribosomal RNA". It matches the Rfam family "Bacterial small subunit ribosomal RNA", at positions 338 to 795 of the family's 1533-position model. The record is from RNAcentral.